AGUCUUCUGUAUCCGUGCUGAGAUUUCAUCACACACUAGACCACAAGGGCUGAUCAGACUUCCAAGAUAAAGAUU
Molecule: microRNA precursor, 75 nt
Filed under: Schistosoma haematobium
Lineage: Eukaryota; Metazoa; Platyhelminthes; Trematoda; Strigeidida; Schistosomatidae
Description: mir-3492 microRNA precursor family
Rfam family: mir-3492 microRNA precursor family
Source: Rfam by way of RNAcentral